RNAcentral lists this ribosomal RNA (253 nucleotides) under uncultured bacterium. RNAcentral describes it as "partial 16S ribosomal RNA". It matches the Rfam family "Bacterial small subunit ribosomal RNA", at positions 524 to 776 of the family's 1533-position model. The record is from RNAcentral.
UACAGAGGGUGCAAGCGUUAAUCGGAAUUACUGGGCGUAAAGCGUGCGUAGACGGUUACGUAAGUCAGAUGUGAAAGCCCCGGGCUCAACCUGGGAAUGGCAUUUGAGACUGCGUAGCUAGGGUGCGGAAGAGGGAAGCGGAAUUUCCGGUGUAGCGGUGAAAUGCGUAGAUAUCGGAAGGAACACCAGUGGCGAAAGCGGCUUCCUGGUCCAGCACCGACGUUCAGGCACGAAAGCGUGGGGAGCAAACAGG